This 498-nucleotide ribosomal RNA is filed under the name uncultured Glomeromycotina. RNAcentral describes it as "partial small subunit ribosomal RNA". It matches the Rfam family "Eukaryotic small subunit ribosomal RNA", at positions 591 to 1092 of the family's 1831-position model. Lineage: Eukaryota; Fungi; Glomeromycota. The record is from RNAcentral.
CCAAUAGCGUAUAUUAAAGUUGCUGCAGUUAAAAAGCUCGUAGUUGAAUUUCGGGAUCAAUAUGUUGGUCGUGCCUCGGUACGUACUAGCUUAUUGGUUUCUCCCUUCUGACGAACCAUGAUGUCAUUUAUUUGGUGUUAUGGGAAAUCAGGACUGUUACUUUGAAAAAAUUAGAGUGUUUAAAGCAGGCCCACGCUUGAAUACAUUAGCAUGGAAUAAUGAAAUAGGACGUUUGAUUCUAUUUUGUUGGUUUCUAGGAUCGACGUAAUGAUUAAUAGGGAUAGUUGGGGGCAUUAGUAUUCAAUUGUCAGAGGUGAAAUUCUUGGAUUUAUUGAAGACUAACUACUGCGAAAGCAUUUGCCAAGGAUGUUUUCAUUAAUCAAGAACGAAAGUUAGGGGAUCGAAGACGAUCAGAUACCGUCGUAGUCUUAACCAUAAACUAUGCCGACUAGGGAUCGGAUGAUGUUAAUUUUUUAAUGACUCAUUCGGCGCCUUACG